GUGAACCUGCGGAAGGAUCAUUAUUGAAUAACUAUGGUGGGUUGUCGCUGGCUUCUUUGAAGCAAUGUGCACACCCACUGUUUUUAUCUAUCCCAUUGUGCACCAUUUGUAGUCUUUGAGGGGAGAGUGGUCAAGUGUGAGCUUUGGGCCCUCCUUUCAGGUCUAUGUCUUUUCCACAGACGUAUUUAUGGUCAUAGAAUGUAAUCAAUGGACCUUUGUGUCUAUGAAACUCUAUACAACUUUCAGCAACGGAUCUCUUGGCUCUCGCAUCGAUGAAGAACGCAGCGAAAUGCGAUAAGUAAUGUGAAUUGCAGAAUUCAGUGAAUCAUCGAAUCUUUGAACGCACCUUGCGCUUCUUGGUAUUCCGAGGAGCAUGCCUGUUUGAGUGUCAUUAAAUUCUCAAUCCAUUUCAGUUUGUAUACUGAUUGUGGUUUGGUAUUGGGGGGUUUGCAGGCCUUGUUAUAUUGAGGUCAGCUCUCCUGAAAUGCAUUAGCGGAACGGGUUUGCGGUCUGUCACUGGUGUGAUAAUUAUCUACACUAAGGCUGCUUUCUGCUUGUUCAGCUUCCAACUGUCCUCUGGACAGCUAUUGAACAUUUGACCUCAAAUCAGGUAGGACUACCCG
Molecule: ribosomal RNA, 623 nt
Filed under: Lepiota iberica
Lineage: Eukaryota; Fungi; Basidiomycota; Agaricomycetes; Agaricales; Agaricaceae
Description: eukaryotic LSU rRNA
Rfam family: 5.8S ribosomal RNA (bases 238-391)
Source: RNAcentral